RNAcentral lists this ribosomal RNA (477 nucleotides) under uncultured bacterium. RNAcentral describes it as "partial 16S ribosomal RNA". It matches the Rfam family "Bacterial small subunit ribosomal RNA", at positions 29 to 507 of the family's 1533-position model. The record is from RNAcentral.
AUGAACGCUGGCGGCGUGCUUAACCCAUGCAAGUCGAACGAGAAGUGAAGACGGAAACCUUCGGGCGGAAGGCUUUAUUUCGAGUGGCGGACGGGUGAGUAACGCGUGGGUAACCUUCCUCAUACAGGGGGAUAACAGUUGGAAACGACUGUUAAUACCGCAUAAGACCACAGCACCGCAUGGUGCGGGGGUAAAAACUCCGGUGGUAUGAGAUGGACCCGCGUUCGAUUAGCCAGUUGGCGGGGUAACGGCCCACCAAAGCGACGAUCGAUAGCCGAUCUGAGAGGAUGACCGGCCACAUUGGGACUGAGACACGGCCCAAACUCCUACGGGAGGCAGCAGUGGGGAAUAUUGCACAAUGGGGGAAACCCUGAUGCAGCGACGCCGCGUGAGUGAAGAAGUAUUUCGGUAUGUAAAGCUCUAUCAGCAGGGAAGAAAAUGACGGUACCUGAGUAAGAAGCCCCGGCUAACUACGUG